AUUGAACGCUGGCGGCAUGCCUUACACAUGCAAGUCGAACGGCAGCACGGGUGCUUGCACCUGGUGGCGAGUGGCGAACGGGUGAGUAAUACAUCGGAACAUGUCCUGUAGUGGGGGAUAGCCCGGCGAAAGCCGGAUUAAUACCGCAUACGAUCUACGGAUGAAAGCGGGGGACCUUCGGGCCUCGCGCUAUAGGGUUGGCCGAUGGCUGAUUAGCUAGUUGGUGGGGUAAAGGCCUACCAAGGCGACGAUCAGUAGCUGGUCUGAGAGGACGACCAGCCACACUGGGACUGAGACACGGCCCAGACUCCUACGGGAGGCAGCAGUGGGGAAUUUUGGACAAUGGGCGAAAGCCUGAUCCAGCAAUGCCGCGUGUGUGAAGAAGGCCUUCGGGUUAUAAAGCACUUUUGUCCGGAAAGAAAUCCUUGGCCCUAAUACGGUCGGGGGAUGACGGUACCGGAAGAAUAAGCACCGGCUAACUACGUG
This 486-nucleotide ribosomal RNA is filed under the name uncultured bacterium. Its description in RNAcentral is "partial 16S ribosomal RNA". It matches the Rfam family "Bacterial small subunit ribosomal RNA", at positions 30 to 507 of the family's 1533-position model. The record is from RNAcentral.